AUCCCGUCCACCGAUUGACUAAGGUUUCCAGAGGAAGGCUCGUCCGCUCUGGGUUAGUCGGGUCCUAAGCUGAGGCCGACAGGCGUAGGCGAUGGAUAACAGGUUGAUAUUCCUGUACCACCUAUAAUCGUUUUAAUCGAUGGGGGGACGCAGUAGGAUAGGCGAAGCGUGCGAUUGGAUUGCACGUCUAAGCAGUAAGGCUGAGUAUUAGGCAAAUCCGGUACUCGUUAAGGCUGAGCUGUGAUGGGGAGAAGACAUUGUGUCUUCGAGUCGUUGAUUUCACACUGCCGAGAAAAGCCUCUAGAUAGAAAAUAGGUGCCCGUACCGCAAACCGACACAGGUAGUCAAGAUGAGAAUUCUAAGGUGAGCGAGCGAACUCUCGUUAAGGAACUCGGCAAAAUGACCCCGUAACUUCGGGAGAAGGGGUGCUCUUUAGGGUUAACGCCCAGAAGAGCCGCAGUGAAUAGGCCCAAGCGACUGUUUAUCAAAAACACAGGUCUCUGCUAAACCGUAAGGUGAUGUAUAGGGGCUGACGCCUGCCCGGUGCUGGAAGGUUAAGAGGAGUGGUUAGCUUCUGCGAAGCUACGAAUCGAAGCCCCAGUAAACGGCGGCCGUAACUAUAACGGUCCUAAGGUAGCGAAAUUCCUUGUCGGGUAAGUUCCGACCCGCACGAAAGGCGUAACGAUUUGGGCACUGUCUCAACGAGAGACUCGGUGAAAUCAUAGUACCUGUGAAGAUGCAGGUUACCCGCGACAGGACGGAAAGACCCCGUGGAGCUUUACUGUAGC
RNAcentral lists this ribosomal RNA (788 nucleotides) under Staphylococcus aureus. Its description in RNAcentral is "partial 23S ribosomal RNA". It matches the Rfam family "Bacterial large subunit ribosomal RNA", at positions 1327 to 2110 of the family's 2925-position model. Lineage: Bacteria; Bacillati; Bacillota; Bacilli; Caryophanales; Staphylococcaceae. The record is from RNAcentral.